Molecule: ribosomal RNA, 40 nt
Filed under: Atrina pectinata
Lineage: Eukaryota; Metazoa; Mollusca; Bivalvia; Pterioida; Pinnidae
Description: partial 5.8S ribosomal RNA
Source: RNAcentral
GCGGUGGAUCACUCGGCUCGUGGGUCGAUGAAGAACGCAG